ACUCAAAUGAAUUGACGGGGGCCCGCACAAGCGGUGGAGCAUGUGGUUUAAUUCGACGCAACGCGAAGAACCUUACCUGGGCUUGACAUCCCCUGAAGGUGCUGGAAACAGUACCGUCCUUUCGGGGACAGGGAGACAGGUGCUGCAUGGCUGUCGUCAGCUCGUGUCGUGAGAUGUUGGGUUAAGUCCCGCAACGAGCGCAACCCUUACCCUUAGUUGCCAACGGGUAAUGCCGGGAACUCUAAGGGAACUGCCGGUGAUAAACCGGAGGAAGGUGAGGAUGACGUCAAGUCCUCAUGGCCUUUAUGCCCAGGGCUACACACGUGCUACAAUGGCCGGUACAAAGAGUUGCAAGACCGUAAGGUGGAGCCAAUCUCAAAAAGCCGGUCUCAGUUCAGAUUGCGGGCUGCAACUCGCCCGCAUGAAGGCGGAAUCGCUAGUAAUCCCGGAUCAGCAUGCCGGGGUGAAUACGUUCCCGGGCCUUGUACACACCGCCCGU
Molecule: ribosomal RNA, 499 nt
Filed under: uncultured bacterium
Lineage: Bacteria
Description: partial 16S ribosomal RNA
Rfam family: Bacterial small subunit ribosomal RNA
Source: RNAcentral